Molecule: ribosomal RNA, 119 nt
Filed under: Pteropus alecto (black flying fox)
Lineage: Eukaryota; Metazoa; Chordata; Mammalia; Chiroptera; Pteropodidae
Source: RNAcentral
GUCUACGGCCAUGCCACCCUGAACAAGCCCAAUCUCGUCUGAUCUUGGAAGCUAAGCAGGGUCAGGCCUGGUUAGUACUUGGAUAGGAGACCACCUAGGAAAACCAGGUGCUGUAGGCA